Long non-coding RNA from Hordeum vulgare subsp. vulgare (domesticated barley), 790 nucleotides. RefSeq lists it as uncharacterized. The record is from RefSeq and is a predicted model, not a curated record. NCBI's taxonomy places the organism in Eukaryota, Viridiplantae, Streptophyta, Magnoliopsida, Poales, Poaceae. The transcript is spliced from 2 exons.
GUCCUUCGAGUUCUCUCAGUCCAUCAUCACCACUCUUCACUCACCUGGAAGCUCCCUAGGGCAGUCGUUCCACCCAGAGGAGUCGCAUCCCUCGCCUCCGAUGGAAAUGGCCACCGCAACCUCCCUGUUAAAUUCGUCGCACCCACAAGCUCCUACCUAGAAGUUUCUUAGCUAGUAGACUUUCCCAAUCAUCGCGAGCCCCUUCCACCUAUCAAUUGCUUUCAGGAGCGAACCAUGGACGAAGCCCCAUGCCUCACGUAGCUCCCUCCGCCAUGGUUAAGGUCCUGCUCGACCUCGAGCUCCUCGGCGCUCCCCUCUAACUCCAUCGGAUUGGGACCAUCCUCCUGAUAACCCUUGUGUCGAGCGUCGGAAAUGGCACCCCCUAGCACCGACAAUCAUCGCCGGGGCGGCCCCCCUAUUUCUCCCGAGGAGCGUGAGAGGAGGGAGACAAAUCCGACAGGUGGGUCCCAUCUUUUGGUGAGCCAACUUUUGCCACCGGUGAUGCCCUCUCGAAGGAAACGUACUCCUCUUGCGUAUUUGAAGAGGAACAAUAUGACGACAACCCUGCAACCUAGGCAUUGAAGAUAGCAGCUUCGCGAGAUAGGAAUUUUCCACGUCAACUCUUCCUGUGGGGAUCGAGUCCCAUAGAUGUUGGAGUUCCACGAGGUGCUACUGCCAUCAGCCACUAGAAAUCUUUGUUGUACUCCAUGGACCAUCAUGGUCUUGUACUCCAAACUAUGUAAUUGCUUGGAAAUUAUGUAUCAAGGAAGUGUCCACUAGUUAACAGUAA